CAGUCCCUGUUCGAUCACCGAAGUUAAGCAACGUCGAGCCUGCUCAGUACAUAGAUGGGUGACCGCUUGGGAAUACCAGGUACUGUAAG
Acanthosepion pharaonis is the source of this 89-nucleotide non-coding RNA. NCBI's taxonomy places the organism in Eukaryota, Metazoa, Mollusca, Cephalopoda, Sepiida, Sepiidae. The record is from the annotation of a GenBank genome assembly.